Molecule: long non-coding RNA, 969 nt
Organism: Myripristis murdjan (pinecone soldierfish)
Lineage: Eukaryota; Metazoa; Chordata; Actinopteri; Holocentriformes; Holocentridae
Exons: 2
Source: RefSeq, a predicted model, not a curated record
GUCAUGUGUGUGAGUGUGUGUUUCUGUGUGUGUGUGUGUGUGUGUGUGUGUGUGUGUGUGUGUGAGAAUAAUACUGUUUUUAGGGGUUUUCAGUCAUACAAUCUGUAAUUUGCUCUGACAGAAAUGCUUGCGCAAAGAACAAAAAAUCCCAACUGAAAAUGCAACGUGGGAACGUGCCGAGCACAGUCAUGUUAUCCGUUUGCACAACUUGAAAUCGGCUGGAUAUGAAAAGGACAGCAUUGCCUUGAUGGUCGGUGGUCUGCUCUUGUCACAGUUCCCUUAAGUUUUGUUUGGGUUUCUUCUCUCUGAAUGGAAAGAAGUGGUUGUUGUACUUCCCAGACUCAUUGUUUGUUUGUUUGUCCACUGUUGAAGCAGAUAGCUAAUCGGUAGGCUCCUGAUAAGCUUUCUGUAUUGUUAAUCCAUGUCUUUUUUUGCUAUGCCUUUAUAGAGUAUCACAGCAUUCGACCUCAGCUCUGAUGCAUUGCAUUCGGAUACCUGGCACCGAAAUCCCCUCUCAUGGUUGCCUUUGAGAGAAAGGAUUAUCCCUUUUCUUAGUCAUGACACUAUUUUAACUUAACUGUGCCAUCGCAGUUACUUUAUGAAGACCAAUGAUUGCUUGUGACUUAUAUAUUUUAAAAAAUAAGUGUCUUUAUAAGAGAAUACCACUGAUGAUCUUACAAGAUGCACCUUAUCGCCUAUGGAUCAAGAAAUACACAUCAAGUGUCACCAUGCCAAAUCAUUUUUUCAUUGCUCUGUAUUUUGCUUUCGCACCAUUUCAUCCUGGUUUUGAAUAGGACCGGAACAAGCGAAAAUAGGAACUUUUUUUUUUUUUCCUUUUUUGUAAGAGAUUGUACAAUGUGUCAUUGUUUUAUUAAAGUAUAUAAUUUGAAGUUAAAUUUUACUUUUUUAUUUUCUGUAGCAUGUAAUGUGUUAAUAUACCUAGUCAAUAAAAAAACUAGCAAAUUGUCA